UUCUAAACAGAAGAUAACCACAACAUACUAAACAAAGGAGACAGAGAGCUUCUUAGUCCACCAC
RNAcentral lists this small RNA (64 nucleotides) under Arabidopsis thaliana (thale cress). RNAcentral's name for it is "ATSL052660". Lineage: Eukaryota; Viridiplantae; Streptophyta; Magnoliopsida; Brassicales; Brassicaceae. The record is from RNAcentral.